RNAcentral lists this ribosomal RNA (484 nucleotides) under uncultured bacterium. RNAcentral's name for it is "partial 16S ribosomal RNA". It matches the Rfam family "Bacterial small subunit ribosomal RNA", at positions 30 to 507 of the family's 1533-position model. The record is from RNAcentral.
AUUGAACGCUGGCGGCAGGCCUAACACAUGCAAGUCGAGCGGAUGAAGGGAGCUUGCUCCUGGAUUCAGCGGCGGACGGGUGAGUAAUGCCUAGGAAUCUGCCUGGUAGUGGGGGAUAACGUCCGGAAACGGGCGCUAAUACCGCAUACGUCCUGAGGGAGAAAGGGGGGGAUCUUCGGACCUCACGCUAUCAGAUGAGCCUAGGUCGGAUUAGCCAGUUGGUGGGGUAAAGGCCUACCAAGGCGACGAUCCGUAACUGGUCUGAGAGGAUGAUCAGUCACAGUGGAACUGAGACACGGUCCCGACUCCUACGGGAGGGAGCAGUGGGGAAUAUUGGACAAUGGGAGAAAGCGUGAGCCAGACACGCCGAGUGUGUGAGGAAGGUCUUCGGAUUGUAAAGCUAUUUAAGUUGGGAGGAAGGGCAGUAAGUUAAUACGUUGCUGUGUUGACGUUACCGAUAGAAUAAGCACCGGCUAACUUCGUG